This is a long non-coding RNA of Cuculus canorus (common cuckoo), 582 nucleotides long. RefSeq lists it as uncharacterized. Lineage: Eukaryota; Metazoa; Chordata; Aves; Cuculiformes; Cuculidae. The transcript has 4 exons. The record is from RefSeq and is a predicted model, not a curated record.
UGGGUGUGCCUACCCCUGCUUCCCGGGGCCUCGAAAUGAAGCACCGCAUAGAACCUUCCUGGAAUGGCGAUGUGUUUGUCUCCACGCUAACAUUCGGUUCUGUCUUUGCCUGGGAUACAGUCAAGAUCCUUUGGGAAGGAGCCGGAGAGGAUCCUUCUGAAGGAAAAUGGGACAGAAAAUGUUUACAGUCUCCUGUGUUCCCUUCCUCCCACAGCCAAGGGAACCCCGCUGCCCUAGUGUUUUAUCUGCUGCUUCUGAGGCUUCGCUGGGGAACAUAAACAGAGAGAAGAGGUGUCCCGGACAAGAUGGGAUGCAGUGCCUUGAAUAUCCUGCACGGACAAGCAGAUGGUUCGGAUGGGCGGCUCUAAAUAUUCUUAUGAAGUUUUUCCUUUGAGUGGAGGUUACCAUGGCAAAACUGCGCACUGUAGUCUGCUCCAGAACAACAGGACAGUGGGAUAGACUGAUGGUGACCCUUCUGCUCUCUGAAGACCCCCAGUGCCUCUCUUCUUUGGGCCCAGACACCACUCCAGGACAUGAACAUCAGAUGCGUCAAAUACCAUAGGACAAGAGCAUAUCUGCAGC